GCGGACCCCACCACACGCCGGGCGCAGCCCACCGGGAGGAGAGAGGAGGGGGCGGCGAGGCGCGGCGUAAACCAGCGCCGGGCGCGUCGCCGGCAGUCAGUGUUGGCAGUUCAAAGCCAUUCGUAUCAUAGGGAAGUGGCAAUGCAAGAAAACAUGACAGGAAAUGGUGAAUAGAGCUCCUGCUACCCUUCGGUUAGGAAAAGGGAAGGCUUUUAUGAAAGAAAGAGAGUAUUUCCUGAAUGAUUCAAGUGUAUAGCACAUGACGUAAUUCAUAAGUGCAAUUUAUUAACGUUCCUCUUACCCUGAAGCUUGGCAGGAACUGUACUUCACUGGCAAUUGAAGCUACAAUCAAAAUCUCCUAAACUGGUCUCAGGAGGCUGGAGAUUCUUUGCUGAAAUGCAGCCACAAGACUCUAGCUUCAGGGCCAACAUAUUACCUGCUGGAGAAGUUCAUCUGGAAAGGACUAAGUCAGGUCCAGUGGUCCAACUGUUUUGAUGCAGUCUGGGAAGUAUGUUAACUGCAGAGCUGCUGAACCAAACUGUUUUGCCAACCUUCCCUCAAGAACCUGUUUGAUCAUAACCAUUACCUGUCACAGCUGGUAACUGCAACUGGAGUCUGAUUUAAUCUCAAGAGAUUAUGACACCAUGAAGAUACUAUAUCUCAAC
Long non-coding RNA from Grus americana (Whooping crane), 665 nucleotides. RefSeq lists it as uncharacterized. The transcript has 6 exons. Lineage: Eukaryota; Metazoa; Chordata; Aves; Gruiformes; Gruidae. The record is from RefSeq and is a predicted model, not a curated record.